AAUCUCAUACUCCUCCUCAAGAUGAAGGUAGUAUUUCCGUACUGAAUCUUGGAUAUUUGUAAGCUACUUCAUGAAAUAACUUGUUUCACUUGCUCUAGAGUUGUAUACCACUUCAUGAUUAGCUGAUUAAUUGGAUUAAUAGUAGGGAUAAAAACCCAGCUGGGAUACCUAUUGUUGCUCCUCUUUUCACUUUUUAUUCACUGGGAAA
RNAcentral lists this long non-coding RNA (208 nucleotides) under Zostera marina. RNAcentral's name for it is "long non-coding RNA (ZMAR_LNC003880)". The record is from RNAcentral. Lineage: Eukaryota; Viridiplantae; Streptophyta; Magnoliopsida; Alismatales; Zosteraceae.